UAUCCAUAAUACCUCUGUGAGACUCACUAUAAAGAAAGGGCUUGCAGAAGGAAGAAAGUGUGCUUUUAGUGGUGCAGAAGCCUGGAAACUCUGAGCCACACAUUUUCUGAGCACAAAUGCUGGCAACCUUGACCAGGUCUGUUGCCGGACAGAAGCCUGGAAACUCUGAGACACACAUUUUCUGAGCACAAAUGCUGGCAACCUUGACCAGGUCUGUUGCGGGAACACUCUCUGACCUUUGUGGCUCACUACCAGAUAGUGGCCCUUGAGUUUUUUCACUGGCAGGAAUCGUAAAACCAGGAAUAGUUGAGAUGGAUCUGUCGAAUGUUGAUGGUUUAUCUGGCAGUGCAA
This 351-nucleotide long non-coding RNA is filed under the name Nicotiana benthamiana. Its description in RNAcentral is "long non-coding RNA (NBEN_LNC023445)". Lineage: Eukaryota; Viridiplantae; Streptophyta; Magnoliopsida; Solanales; Solanaceae. The record is from RNAcentral.